Molecule: ribosomal RNA, 315 nt
Filed under: Triticum aestivum (bread wheat)
Lineage: Eukaryota; Viridiplantae; Streptophyta; Magnoliopsida; Poales; Poaceae
Description: partial small subunit ribosomal RNA
Source: RNAcentral
AUGAGCGAAGGGAGCCAUCUCAGCCAUAUAGGAGCAACUCUAGCAGAACCACUAUCUUGUGGAGUAUGCGCCAUGUGGGAUUUUAUCAUCAUGGUCAUCAAAUCUGACCUCCCUUGGUUUGCAGUCCUUUGGAGCACACUCUAUCCACCAGCGAAGGAAGUUUCAGCUUGCCCACCUGCUGCCCUCGCCCAGAGUCCGGCACAUUUCGUCGUGGUUGGGGCGGUGUGCUCCCGUGUCCGUGCUCUAGCUCGCCCUUCUUCAGAAUCAACACCUCGACGUCCAUCCUCAUCUCACCCCUGCUUCCUCGCAACAUAA